UAAAGUGUUAAAGUUCCUUAACUCCAUUCAGCCCUGCGCCAGGAUCGUUAGCUAUUGAUCUGGGCCCCUCCGGCACUUAACUCCAGCCAGCAUAUUGGCAAUUCAAUUAGCACCAGUCAAUGCUGCGUGUUCCUGGCUCCUGCUGCCCAUGCCCUCGCCCUUGCCCACCACUGGCUCUGCAAAGCCCGACGCCCAUGCCCACCUCUGGCAGCCCCUUGCAGGCUCUUCUCCUGUACCCUCUGGAUCAAUGGUGCCUGGCUGGCUGUUCCCGGCCUCUGCUGGUACAACCUCAGCUGCCUAAGGGUGACUCUAAGCCCAGCCUUAGGGCUGAAGACCUCCUAGGAGACAGGAAGAGGCUGGGAAGCUUGUCAGGGGCCUCUUCCCAUCCCUGCUGCCUUUGGAUCAUGCCCACAGCUCCUAUCUCCUUCCAAGAAGCCCUGGCCCAGCACAAAACAGGUUCUCUCUCCUUCCUACCCAGCUCCAGCCUGCCACCCUCCAGCAUUACCAGGACACUAGUCACUACUCAGAAUCACUGGGUGGUUCCUCUUCACCCUCUUCCUGUUCUAUGUCAUCCACCCAGCAAAGCCCCUGCCCUUCUUUGCCCCUCCACUCAAGGUAGCCUCCACAGUGCCUGACACGCUCAUUCUGUCUUAUCCCUUCGCAGCUUCUUCCCAUUUAGUAUAGGUGGCCUACAGGCCCUCUUCGCCUUCCUUGUAUCUCUAACUCCGCAGCCCCCCUGCUCCCCACAUCCUGCUGCCCUCCCUGCCCAGCUCUUAUUCUCCAGUCCCUUCUUCCUCACCGGGAGUCCGGAGCUGCCCGUGGCUGAAGCUCAGGAUGCUCUGAAGAGCUGCGAGUCCUUCCUCAGUGGUUGGGCCAUUCUGUAGCAGCUGCAGACGCCUCUGGGCCUGGGCAUCGCGGUGGGCAGGUGUGCGCAGGUGUUGCAGCACAGCCAAGCGGGAGGGUGUCUCCCACGCACACAACAGGCAGUGGUAUAGCCCCAGCUCUGCCCCUGCCUCCGCUCCCUCCAUGUCCAGCAGAAACUAGAACCAUGGGAAGAGGCUGGCUCAGGCCCAGAAGGGACAUGCCAGACCUCAGGGGACUUUUUUUUUUUUUCUAGAGAGAGUCUUGCCCUGUUGCCCAGGCUGGAGUGCAGUGGCAUGAUCUCUACUCACUGAAGCCUCUACCUCCUGGGUUCAGUGAUUCUCAUGCCUCAGCCUCCCGAGUAGCUGGGAUUACAGGCAUGCGCACCACACCUGGCUAAUUUUUGUAUUUUUAGUACAGAUGGGGUUUCACCAUGUUGGCCAGGCUGGUCUCGAACUCCUGACUUCAAGUGAUCCUCCCGCCUCGGCCUCCCAAAGUGCCGGGACUACAGGCGUGAGCCACCGCACCUAGCCUCAGGGGACUUCUUUGCCUUCCCUAAGGGAGACUGACUAGCAGCAGCCCCCUCCCCACCCCUCGCUUCCUGCUCCUGAAACCCCCCCUUUCCCUCCUAUGGCCACCUAAGUAUUAUUGCUUGCUCUCCCCAACCCUUUCUCUUUCUCCUACCACUCCUGGACUCCCUCCCAGCAUGCAAAUGGAGUCUGGUUCCAUCCUCUUGAACCUCUGGUGACAUGACAAACUGAGCUGAUACCACCCCUCCCUCCAGGGCCAAACACCAGAAGAGCUGAAUAAAGUCUGUUUCACUUG
Homo sapiens (human) is the source of this 1686-nucleotide long non-coding RNA. The record is from Ensembl. Lineage: Eukaryota; Metazoa; Chordata; Mammalia; Primates; Hominidae.